CCUACGCGUGGCAGCAGUGAGGAAUAUUGGUCAAUGGACGAGAGUCUGAACCAGCCAAGUAGCGUGAAGGAUGACUGCCCUAUGGGUUGUAAACUUCUUUUAUAUGGGAAUAAAAUGUUCCACGUGUGGGAUUUUGUAUGUACCAUAUGAAUAAGGAUCGGCUAACUCCGUGCCAGCAGCCGCGGUAAUACGGAGGAUCCGAGCGUUAUCCGGAUUUAUUGGGUUUAAAUGGAGCGUAGGUGGAUUGUUAAGUCAGUUGUGAAAGUUUGCGGCUCAACCGUAAAAUUGCAGUUGAAACUGGCAGUCUUGAGUACAGUAGAGGUGGGCGGAAUUCGUGGUGUAGCGGUGACAUGCUUAGAUAUCACGAAGAACUCCGAUUGCGAAGGCAGCUCACUGGACUGCAACUGACACUGAGGCUCGAAAGUGUGGGUAUCAAACAGGAUUAGAUACCCGUGUAGUC
RNAcentral lists this ribosomal RNA (460 nucleotides) under uncultured bacterium. RNAcentral's name for it is "partial 16S ribosomal RNA". It matches the Rfam family "Bacterial small subunit ribosomal RNA", at positions 338 to 795 of the family's 1533-position model. The record is from RNAcentral.